Long non-coding RNA from Lolium rigidum, 1926 nucleotides. RefSeq lists it as uncharacterized. The transcript is spliced from 3 exons. The record is from RefSeq and is a predicted model, not a curated record. NCBI's taxonomy places the organism in Eukaryota, Viridiplantae, Streptophyta, Magnoliopsida, Poales, Poaceae.
UUGAUCAGACCAUCGUGCAUCCAUCUCCUCAGGCUUCUCCUUUCCCGUACUUUCCCUCCACCUAUUUCUCUCUCUCCACCUUACAGGAAGGUCUACUUAGCGAUAAAAGGGAGGGGAGCCGCUAGGAUGGAUCUCUGUGUUGGAUUUGCUGGAUGCAAGGUGGCCACGCCAGCUACCUACAUAAGUAUGGACAGGGAAGGCCUGCAAGGAUGUAUUUGCAGGCGGGUCGUGGUACCAGAGGUGGUUCGCCACUUCCAAUAGGCUGCUGGUUGGCAUUGUGUAUGCCGACAGAGAGAAACUUUGGCACAGUGGUACAUGAUCUUUUACACUUCCUAUGCACCUGGGAGUAUAUGCAUAUUAAAAAUGUUUCGCUGACUUAUACUUCUUACAAUUUAAUCUUUGGUUCUUAAUGUAGCAAGCCGCCUUGCUAUUUUGUGUGUCUGCAAAUUUCUUCAGCCAUGGUUUACAUCCCAAUUGUUUAAAAUAUAUGAAGCUAAAAUUUCAGGCUUGAUGUCGAUGAUUCUAGGUAAGGAUGAUUAUAAGUCUAUGCAUCUUUCACCAUUUUGUCCUCUUACAAAUGAUGAUUUAUACUUCUGUAGGUCCAAUCUAUAAUUAUGUACUAAAAGUUCAGAAAACUUUGGCAAUACAACAUAAUGAGAGGUCCAUGGUAAAACAAGAAACAAGUUAUUUUGGAGCAACACUGAGAGUUAUUAUUAUGAGGGUAUAAGAAGGUUGGAUGCAAGAUCUGAUUUAGAGGGAAAUGGCCUGUGGAUUGAAAAAUGGAUUCAACAGGUAUUUGCCGACUCCACCAAAGUAGAGAAUAGGAGAGAAAAUGGUAGUUGUGGAAUGUACUAUUGAUUGGCCUUGAAUAUCUGUGGAGCGGCGCUAGCUUCUCGUGGGUUUUUUCUGGUAAGGCUGCUAAGCUUUUAUGUUUGUAGGAAUUUAAUGAAUCACAUUGUAAAUAGAAAAUUUGCUCAUGUACAUUGCAAAAUGACUGCUAUAACAUGUCACACCGGCUUCGAUAUUUCACAAUAGUUUUUAAAUCUGUUCCAGCUAAUGCCAUAAUAUGCUCUAGAACUAUAUGAUGUCAUCUGUAGCAAUAAGGCACAUUUUUGUCUACUGAGGGUAGAGUCAACAUACCUUAGUGGAGUUCAUUUUCUGCAACUUAAUUUACAUAGCCUGUAUAACUGAAAGUUGUGGAUACUGUAUUUUUUCGGCGGUGUUCACUAUCGAUCACUGUUGCCAUCAGAUAGCUACAAAGAACCGCAGCGGUGUUCACUAUCCAUCACUGUGGCCAUCAGAUAGCUACAAAGAACCGCUUGAUGUUAGUAAGAACUUUACCUUACAAGGUGAUAAACCGAUGCUAAUUUUGUCCCCAACAGUGAGUUUCUUAAAAAAAAUGUAAAGAUAGGCCAUGAUCAAUAUACAAUGGUUAUGUUAUCUGGAUUUAGUAACUAUAGGGAGAUUCACGUCAACAUUUAAAUGGAUUCCUAUCUUUUUCUUUCAGAUUUUAAGUUCAAAUUUGUCUACUUAGAAGGUGAUGAAGUCAGCACAAGUAAGCAUUGAGUUUCCAGUUAUUGCAGUGUUGGUAAAGAGUAAAUCUAGGUUCAUUCCAUUAUAUUAUUUCCAUACAAAUUAAGCCUGCUGGACUGUAACACUACACACUGAUGACUGUGCAUUCCUAUCCACAUAAGAGAACUCAGAAUGUGAUAACUUGCCUGAUGUGCUUCCAUGACUUUUUGACUCUUUUUUUGCAUGUCUACAUACUCUCACACAUUUCCAGUACAGUUAAUUUGUACCCCCAUCUUGGGCUCCUGUCGGUAGGUCUAUGUUUCCUGGUUGCUUGACAUGAUAUGUUUCUGGUUUACCUCCUUAUCAAUUCGCCUUUUAUAGGCACAUGUGGGUUUGGUUUGGGCAAACUAACGC